GUGCUCGCUUCAGCAGCACAUAUACUAGAGUUAG
Molecule: small nuclear RNA, 34 nt
Filed under: Cervus elaphus hippelaphus
Lineage: Eukaryota; Metazoa; Chordata; Mammalia; Artiodactyla; Cervidae
Source: RNAcentral